Molecule: transfer RNA, 89 nt
Filed under: Thermomicrobiales bacterium
Lineage: Bacteria; Pseudomonadati; Thermomicrobiota; Thermomicrobia; Thermomicrobiales
Description: tRNA-Ser
Rfam family: tRNA
About the family: Transfer RNA (tRNA) molecules are approximately 80 nucleotides in length. Their secondary structure includes four short double-helical elements and three loops (D, anti-codon, and T loops).
Source: RNAcentral
GGAAGGGUCGCAUAGUUGGCCUAGUGCGCGCGACUGGAAAUCGCGUAGGCGGUAAUCCCGCCUCGAGGGUUCGAAUCCCUCCCCUUCCG